AGAAGUAGGUAGUUUAACCUUUCGGGGAGGACGCUUACCACUUUGUGGUUCAUGACUGGGGUGAAGUCGUAACAAGGUAGCCCUAGGGGAACCUGGGGCUGGAUCACCUCCUUACGAAA
Molecule: ribosomal RNA, 119 nt
Filed under: Vibrio sp. S11_S32
Lineage: Bacteria; Pseudomonadati; Pseudomonadota; Gammaproteobacteria; Vibrionales; Vibrionaceae
Description: partial 16S ribosomal RNA
Rfam family: Bacterial small subunit ribosomal RNA
Source: RNAcentral